RNAcentral lists this non-coding RNA (147 nucleotides) under Homo sapiens (human). Lineage: Eukaryota; Metazoa; Chordata; Mammalia; Primates; Hominidae. The record is from Rfam by way of RNAcentral.
GCCGGGCGUGGUGGCGGGUGCCUGUAGUCCCAGCUACUUGGGGGCUGAGGCAGGAGAAUUGCUUGAACCCGGGAGGCGGAGGUUGCAGUGAGCCGAGAUUGCGGCACUGCGCUGCAGCCUGGGUGACAAAGCAAGACUCUGUCUCAA